CCUACGGGCGGCAGCAGUGAGGAAUAUUGGUCAAUGGGCGAGAGCCUGAACCAGCCAAGUCGCGUGAAGGAUGAAGGAUCUAUGGUUUGUAAACUUCUUUUAUAGGGGAAUAAAGUGAGGAACGUGUUCCUUUUUGUAUGUACCAUAUGAAUAAGCAUCGGCUAACUCCGUGCCAGCAGCCGCGGUAAUACGGAGGAUGCGAGCGUUAUCCGGAUUUAUUGGGGUUAAAGGGUGCGUAGGCGGACAGUCAAGUCAGCGGUAAAACUGCGCUGCUCAACGCCGUACAGCCUUUGAAACUGGCAGUCUUGAGUGGGCGAGAGGUAUGCGGACUGCGUGGUGUAGCGGUGACAUGCAUAGAUAUCACGCAGAACUCCGAUUGCGAAGGCAGCAUACCGGCGCCCGACUGACGCUGAGGCACGAAAGCGUGGGUAUCGAACAGGAUUAGAUACCCGGGUAGUC
Molecule: ribosomal RNA, 459 nt
Filed under: uncultured bacterium
Lineage: Bacteria
Description: partial 16S ribosomal RNA
Rfam family: Bacterial small subunit ribosomal RNA
Source: RNAcentral